Dermochelys coriacea (leatherback sea turtle) is the source of this 1560-nucleotide long non-coding RNA. RefSeq lists it as uncharacterized. The transcript has 3 exons. NCBI's taxonomy places the organism in Eukaryota, Metazoa, Chordata, Testudines, Dermochelyidae. The record is from RefSeq and is a predicted model, not a curated record.
AACAGCUUCACUGCAUUUCUAAAGAUGUUGGUCCAAAUUCUAGUCCUUUGGAAGUUAAUCAGAGUUUUGACAUUGACUUCAGGUGUAACCCACUAACGGGUGUGUGUUACAGUUCCUCCUUUGUUCGGAUGUGCAGGAGAUAGGAGUUGUUACAGUCCCCAAGUAUAGCAGCUUGGUCCAAACUAUUUAGUACAAACUGUAACAGCAUGUGCAUUUAGCUCUGUAGGUCCCUGGUGUGUCAGGCAAGAUGGCAGCUGUCACACAAGUGGGGGCUCAUCCUGGAUUCAAACCACUGUGGACCUCAGAUGCUUGGAGGAGUUUUUUUGAGCAGAGGAAGUAUGUCAUGUAACCCACUGGGUUCACACUUUGGCAGUUCUGCUUUGACUUUUGACGGUGCUGGCUGGAGAAGCCAAAGGGGAAUUUGGCUGAAACUGCUGAGUCUCACGUGGAUACCAAUUGACACUGGAAAUCCCUCGCCCAGUGAGUAGAAUGUGGACGUUCCAUCACUGGGAGCCUGCAGCCUGGACUCCACCAUCAAGGCCAGCCAGAAUGAAGGCACAACAUACUAAUUUUCAAAAGGAGAAAGGAAAGGGAUGCUUUCCAAUGUCUGCCUCAUAAGCCUGACUUCUGGUUCUAGAAAAACGGCAGGAUAAUUAUUCAAAGAAAAAUGACCCACUCGACAACUGGAAAAUAGUGGAACUGGGUUUCUGCAGUGUAAAUCUUCUCAGAUGACAUUGAUCACUGUCUUUGAUAGAACAAUUAAAUCACUGGCCAAAAUGAAAACAGCAAAUGUAAUGGGUCCACCUGAGGCUGGCACUUUUGUCGGGGGAAGAGGGAGGAGCGUUCCCUAUACUCUGAGGGCAGGGAUUACUCCCACUUUGACCCUCUUCCCCCUGGAGGGGAUUUGGGGGAAGCAGGCUGCACCAUCUAAAGACAGUGUAGACUAUGUACAAGCCCUUGUGCACUGAGAAGCUUGUGCCUGAAAUGCAGCUUCCUACCUGAAUACAGCUCUGCACCAGCCCCAGCAUGUUUCAGUGCCUAACUGGCCCAAUUUGGCUCAAUGUGUUUUGACUUCAGUGAUGCCUUUGUUAUACUAUCUCCCAAAAAUUCACUCUCAGAACUAGUCCCAAUUGGCUCAGGUAGGACUACAGUCACAUGGAUUAGUUACUGGUGCAGAGACCAAAGAUAAAUUGUGGGGAGGGGCUUAGUGGGUAGUACAGGGAGCGAGGCUGGUCCUGGUCCUGUCUAACAUCUUCUUUCAUGAUGUGAAAGAAGAAGUUAGCGACACAUUUGUAUAAUCUACAGAAGAUAUUAAAAUGCACUCACUGAUGCUGGCUUUAAAUUGGACAGUCCCACUCUGUCCUUUACUGUUAGUGUUAUGAUGGCUGGUGGUAUCUCCUUCACUGAAGAGUUAUUUAUUAUUUGUAUUGCGGUAACACCUAGGAGCCCUAGGCAUGGCCCAGGACCCAUUGUGCUAGGCACUGUACAAAUACAGAACAAAAGGAUAGGCCCUGUCCCAAAGAGCUGAUAAUCAUUUAGUAUUUGUGGUUCUGUUUUAGA